GACCUUUGCCGGCUGUUCAGUUCAGUACACGAUGGGGCAUGGAGCUUAACGCUUCUGUGGAUAUACAUUUCGUUCAAUCAUGAGUGUUUGCAGUCUACGUAUAGUAAAGUAAUGAAUAUAAAUUCUGAUUGGAUAGGACUAAAAUGAAGUUAUUCUGACCUGUUUGGAGCUAAUUCUUUAUUUAGUGAAACUCGAAAACUGUGCUGGUUUUGGGGCUGACGGUGGUGAGGAAAACCCGAGAGAGUACCGCUUUGGAUGAAAACGCUUUUGUUUGUCGACGCCUGAGUGAUCACCGCACACUCCCCGCAGCUCCUUUUACUCAUACCUUUGGCACGGCGUUAAUUUUCGGAAAGGAUAUAUCUGGGGACGUUAUAUUGAAAUAUCAACCUGACCACUAUUUUUCGUCUGCAAUGUCGAUUGAAAUAUUGAGGCAUCUGGCUAGGAGAAUCCAUAUCGAAAUCAAGAGCGUCUUCAUAUCAGACAAAAUACCAAGAGAUGCAAGUUUUGCUUCUAUUAUCGCAGAAGAUUAGAACUCUUUCUCAGUGAAUAACUGUAAAAAGUGGAAAAAAGAGGAGAAAAAAUGUAUCCAAAGUAGCGUUCUGGCAGGUCUUGGCACUGGAAGAAUUCACAGAUGUGUAAAAUAUAAUCGUGGAUCUUGCAAUGCCAUCACUGGCUGGAUGCCAUCUCACCGUUUUAUAUUUAUAAAUGUUAAUAUGGCGCUCAUCGUAAUAAAUUUUUUCAUUUAUUGUAUAAUAUAAUAUACUUACGAGCAAUUUAUCGCACUGUCAUAAGAUGUGGCCCUACUUAAGAAAAAUGUAAUUAAUUAUUCAAAUAUAUUGCUUCUAUAUUAGACUAGAUGAACUCUGACGAUAUAAAUAUAAUUUGAAUCG
This is an RNA transcript of Belonocnema kinseyi, 890 nucleotides long. RefSeq lists it as uncharacterized. The record is from RefSeq and is a predicted model, not a curated record. NCBI's taxonomy places the organism in Eukaryota, Metazoa, Arthropoda, Insecta, Hymenoptera, Cynipidae. The transcript has 3 exons.